CAGAGGCCUAGGUGGGGACAGGAAAGGAGAGGGUGGAGACAGUGGUGGCUGGGGAGAGCAGGUGCCAGGGUUUCAAAGAGCAAAGCCAUUCUAGGGAAGGGUGUUGCCUGGAAACCUGGCGUGACUACAGAACCUGCAUCUGCGUGGAGUUCCUGGAAAUCACCCAGAGUUAAAGGACGCCCCCACCGUCCCUAUGGCUGAGAUCACGUUGGAGGCUAGGAUCUUACCAGGUGGGAGGCUGUGGACCUCUCUAAUCCACCAAGUAUGCCACACGGAGAUCACAUGUACAUUUCUAGAAACCAAAUGCAGACUGCUUUAAGAACGGGUCCCCUCGCCUCCUAGCCAACUCUUCCUUUUGUGAGCGUGGUUCUUCCCAUCACUUCCCAUUCUCUCCUCGAGGAGGAUAGACUGAGGUGGUGGAGGCUGCAGAGGGGGCCAGCCAGCCCUGGAGUCAAAUCCCAACUCUGCCAAAUUCUGGCUGCGUGACCUCAGAAAAACGAUGACGAGGUUAAAGGAGAAAAUAAGUUACAUGACAGUUUCCAAAAUGGUUCUCGCUUUCCACUGAAGAUGGGCCACUGUUGGGUUGUAAUGCACUCACGGCCCCUGCUUGUGCUUUACAAGAAGAGGGAAUAUAACUAGACUGGUUAUUUUAGGUUAAAAUAGCCAAGAGACAGACGCCUUCGCCUCAAAAAUAUUCUGAGACACAUUAAAAGUAGAAGGAAACAAGUCUCUUCAGUCACAAAAUGUCGUACAUCCGGCAUAUACUAGAUUCAAUUAAUUUAAUAAAAUAGAAUAUACAUAGAGA
Peromyscus leucopus (white-footed mouse) is the source of this 805-nucleotide long non-coding RNA. RefSeq lists it as uncharacterized. The record is from RefSeq and is a predicted model, not a curated record. NCBI's taxonomy places the organism in Eukaryota, Metazoa, Chordata, Mammalia, Rodentia, Cricetidae. The transcript has 2 exons.